RNAcentral lists this ribosomal RNA (484 nucleotides) under uncultured bacterium. RNAcentral's name for it is "partial 16S ribosomal RNA". It matches the Rfam family "Bacterial small subunit ribosomal RNA", at positions 28 to 523 of the family's 1533-position model. The record is from RNAcentral.
GACGAACGCUGGCGGCGUGCUUAACACAUGCAAGUCGAACGGUGAAAGAGGAGCUUGCUCCUCUGGAUCAGUGGCGAACGGGUGAGUAACACGUGAGUAACCCGCCCCAGACUCUGGAAUAACCCCGGGAAACCGGAGCUAAUACCGGAUACGAGACAGAGAGGCAUCUCUACUGUCUGGAAAGUUUUUCGGUCUGGGAUGGACUCGCGGCCUAUCAGCUUGUUGGUGAGGUAACGGCUCACCAAGGCGACGACGGGUAGCCGGCCUGAGAGGGCGACCGGCCACACUGGGACUGAGACACGGCCCAGACUCCUACGGGAGGCAGCAGUGGGGAAUAUUGCACAAUGGGCGAAAGCCUGAUGCAGCGACGCCGCGUGAGGGAUGACGGCCUUCGGGUUGUGAACCUCUUUCAGUAGGGAAGAAGCGAAAGUGACGGUACCUACAGAAGAAGCACCGGCUAACUACGUGCCAGCAGCCGCCGUAA